This 172-nucleotide small RNA is filed under the name Cryptosporangium arvum. RNAcentral describes it as "c-di-AMP sequence". It matches the Rfam family "c-di-AMP riboswitch aptamer (ydaO/yuaA leader)". Rfam says of the family: This family represents a conserved RNA structure found upstream of the ydaO and yuaA genes in Bacillus subtilis and related genes in other bacteria. The record is from RNAcentral. RNAcentral also lists the same sequence under 1 other name. Lineage: Bacteria; Bacillati; Actinomycetota; Actinomycetes; Cryptosporangiales; Cryptosporangiaceae.
CCCGACGAGUAGCCAAUCAAAUGGACAGGAGCGGGGGACCCACGCACGUGGGGUCGCCGGAGAACAGAUCCGGCGCGAUCCCUUGGGGUGAAGACGCGCUCAGCGCGACCGGGCACUACACCUUCCCGCCCGAACCCGACAGCUAACUCCGCAGGCGUGCAUGGAAGGACUC